UACGUAGGGUGCGAGCGUUGUCCGGAAUUAUUGGGCGUAAAGGGCUCGUAGGCGGUCUGUCGCGUCAGGAGUGAAAACUCGGGGCUUAACCCCGAGCCUGCUUCUGAUACGGGCAGACUAGAGGUAUGCAGGGGAGAACGGAAUUCCUGGUGUAGCGGUGAAAUGCGCAGAUAUCAGGAGGAACACCGGUGGCGAAGGCGGUUCUCUGGGCAUUACCUGACGCUGAGGAGCGAAAGCCAGGGGAGCAAACGGG
RNAcentral lists this ribosomal RNA (253 nucleotides) under uncultured bacterium. RNAcentral describes it as "partial 16S ribosomal RNA". It matches the Rfam family "Bacterial small subunit ribosomal RNA", at positions 524 to 776 of the family's 1533-position model. The record is from RNAcentral.